UCAACGAAGCCCAAAUUUGAUCUUUGGUGAAAGAGCAACGAUAGUGCUGCUCGUUCGUCGCCGGCCCUAUGCAGAUCUCGCGCGUCAAGGCUGCUUGGUUUGGGAUUGUGCGGUUGUUGGGCAAAUGGAGAUAAGAUCCAGGAAUCCAAGAGCUGAGUUGUAUAUUGCCUCGUACUUACCAGUGGCCCUUACUUUAUAUAUGGAGAUAAUCAAGCUGUGUGUUCCCCUGUUUGGUUGUUGGAGAGAAGGAAUCCAAGAGCUACUGAUAUGUGUACCUACCGGUGGCCUCUCAUUAUUUAUCUACAAUUGUACGCCAGUACUACUUCAGUAUCAUAUUUUGGUUAAUUUGCUUUGUAACUUGUUUUUGUGUGUUGGCCACUGCUCCAGGACGAACUGAAAACCAGAAAUCUCAUAAGGAGGAAAGAAAUUCUGUGUGAAAGGUAUUAUCUAUCUUAUCGCAAGAAAAUUCUGAAGAUGCAGUCUUGCUGCAUCAAUUCUUUUCAUGACGCAGCGGCCCAAGUGAGAACUCGAUUCUCUACCUCUAGAGCUUACAUCAUCGAAUAAAUUUCAGUUUAAGGAUGGCUGUAGGAGCACAUAAGUAAACUAUAUUGUAAAGGGCACCUGGAGUAAGAUUAAUUAUCUCCAGCGUAAAAAUAUUAUCUGGUGGAACAGAUAUCAGUUUCCAAACCAGAAGUGAGAAGUCCCGUCCUCAGUUUCAGUCUAUCGCUAGAGACUCUGCUACUUACUACCGUCAGCUGACCAGAAUCCUUCCUGUGCAGACAGCAUUCACUUGUUUGCUGGACAGACUCAGGGUUUUGUAGGCAUUCCUCUGCAACUGCACAAUGAGGCAUGAUGGUAUAGAUCAGAUUUACGGUCAUCAGGACAAUCAAAUAUGAUCUGACGUUCAUGAAGAUAACGCUGGUGUUUGACGCGGGGAGUUGCCAGCGAUGGAGAUCACCAAUAGCAAUAGGUAGCCAUUUGUUUGUCCGGCUUGCCUUUUGGCUCCUCCGACAGACACUAGUAGUACUAGUCUUUUGCUGUUUGAGUUCACCAAACUCACACAUCUCAUUUCCCUAAAAAAAACUCUCAUUUGUUUCGAGUGAAGCACGGUGCUCGUGACAGACACACAUGUCAGCCCCUCUCCUCUCAGACAAGAACGCCUGCUUCGAGGUUAUUUUUUUCA
Molecule: non-coding RNA, 1183 nt
Organism: Aegilops tauschii subsp. strangulata
Lineage: Eukaryota; Viridiplantae; Streptophyta; Magnoliopsida; Poales; Poaceae
Source: RefSeq, a predicted model, not a curated record